Long non-coding RNA from Syngnathus acus (greater pipefish), 296 nucleotides. RefSeq lists it as uncharacterized. The record is from RefSeq and is a predicted model, not a curated record. The transcript is spliced from 3 exons. Lineage: Eukaryota; Metazoa; Chordata; Actinopteri; Syngnathiformes; Syngnathidae.
UUAGUCGGACGGUUUCCAAAUAUAAUAUACUUUGUUUUACUUAAAUUUAAUGUCAGUUUAUUUGUGUCAAACCAACUCUGUAAUUUUUCCAUUUCAAUACCCACAGUAUCCAGUAGUUGAUCAAGGUCAUCCCCACUGCAAAGCAGGUUUGUGUCAUCUGCAAAAACUAUGGCCUUGAGUAACCUGGAGACCUUGCACAUAUCAUUGACAUACAAAAUAAAUAACAAGGGGCCUAAUAUUGAGCCCUGAGGAACCCCACACUUUACCUGCUUUAGUUUUGAUUUACAGUCCAUAGG